UGUAAGCGUAUACCAAAGUUGUUGCAGUUAAAACGCUCGUAGUCGGAAUUUGGCAGUUCCGGAUGUGUGCACGUCGUGUGCGCACUUCGCGGGGAUUGCUUUUGUGGUCUUGCGUAGGAUGAGGCACUUUUAUUAGUGAACGUCCUCACGCAACCACUUUUUACUGUGAGAAAAUCAGAGUGCUCAAAGCAGGCAUUUGCCGUGAAUGUAUUAGCAUGGAAUAAUAGAAUAGGACUUGGUUCUAUUUUGUUGGUUUGUUGGGACUGAGUAAUGAUUAAGAGGGACAGUUGGGGGCAUUUGUAUUUCGGUGCUAGAGGUGAAAUUCUUAGAUUACCGAAAGACAAACUGCUGCGAAAGCGUCUGCCAAGGAUGUUUUCAUUGG
This 382-nucleotide ribosomal RNA is filed under the name uncultured eukaryote. Its description in RNAcentral is "partial 18S ribosomal RNA". It matches the Rfam family "Eukaryotic small subunit ribosomal RNA", at positions 592 to 976 of the family's 1831-position model. The record is from RNAcentral.